RNAcentral lists this unclassified non-coding RNA (262 nucleotides) under uncultured fungus. RNAcentral's name for it is "sequence contains ITS2". The stretch from base 1 to 52 matches the Rfam family "5.8S ribosomal RNA", at positions 103 to 154 of the family's 154-position model. The record is from RNAcentral. Lineage: Eukaryota; Fungi.
AACGCACAUUGCGCCCGCCAGUAUUCUGGCGGGCAUGCCUGUCUGAGCGUCAUUUCAACCCUCACGCCCCUAGGGCGUGGUGUUGGGGAUCGGCCAAGGCCCGCAAGGGACGGCCGGCCCCUAAAUCUAGUGGCGGACCCGUCGUGGCCUCCCCUGCGAAGUAGUGAUAUUCCGCAUCGGACAGCGACGAGCCCCAGCCGUUAAACCCCCCAAAUUUUACAAGGUUGACCUCAGAUCAGGUAGGAAUACCCGCUGAACUUAA